RNAcentral lists this ribosomal RNA (274 nucleotides) under uncultured bacterium. RNAcentral's name for it is "partial 16S ribosomal RNA". It matches the Rfam family "Bacterial small subunit ribosomal RNA", at positions 523 to 796 of the family's 1533-position model. The record is from RNAcentral.
AUACGGAGGGUGCAAACGUUAAUCGGAAUUACUGGGCGUAAAGCGCGCGUAGGUGGUGUAGUAAGUCGGAUGUGAAAGCCCUGGGCUCAACCUGGGAAUUGCAUUCGAUACUGCUUGACUAGAGUAUGAUAGAGGGAAGUGGAAUUUCCGGUGUAGCGGUGAAAUGCGUAGAUAUCGGAAGGAACACCAGUGGCGAAGGCGACUUCCUGGGCCAAUACUGACGCUAAGGUGCGAAAGCGUGGGGAGCAAACAGGAUUAGAAACCCCGGUAGUCC